RNAcentral lists this ribosomal RNA (468 nucleotides) under uncultured bacterium. Its description in RNAcentral is "partial 16S ribosomal RNA". It matches the Rfam family "Bacterial small subunit ribosomal RNA", at positions 28 to 507 of the family's 1533-position model. The record is from RNAcentral.
GACGAACGCUGGCGGCGUGCUUAACACAUGCAAGUCGAACGAAAAGGCGCUGCUUUUGUGGGGUGCUCGAGUGGCGAAGGGGGGAGUAACACGUGAGUAACCUCCCCUUGUAUUUGGGAUAACUUCAGGAAACUGGGGCUCAUACCGGAUAUGAGAUCCUGCUGCAUAGGGGGGGAUGGAAAGUUUCGGCGGUGUGGGAUGGAAUCGCGGGUUACCAGCUUGUUUGUGGGGUAGUGGCUUACCAGGGCUUUGAAGGGUAGCCGGCCUGAGAGCGUGACCGGCGACAUUGGGCCUGAGAGACGGCGCAGAAUGCUAUGUUACGCAGUAGUGGGGAACAUUGCACAAUGACCGGAAGCCAGAUGAAGAAACGCUGCGUUCGGGAUGAUGGCUUUCUGGUUGUAAACCGCUUUCGAAUGAGAUGAAGACGGAGUGACGGUACUGAGUAAGGAAGCACCGGCUAACUACGUG